AUUGACGAGUCCCAAACAGGACGAAACGCGCGUCCUGGAU
Non-coding RNA from Schistosoma margrebowiei, 40 nucleotides. Lineage: Eukaryota; Metazoa; Platyhelminthes; Trematoda; Strigeidida; Schistosomatidae. The record is from Rfam.